AUCUCUGUGUUUGAGGGUCUUGGAAGCUUGACUACCCUACGUUCUCCUACAAAUGGACCUUGAGAGCUUGUUUGGAGGUUCUAGCAGGGGAGCGCAGCUAUCGUAUACCCUUGACCGAAGAACGGUACACUCCUUCUAUCUGGGAUGGUCGUC
Molecule: long non-coding RNA, 153 nt
Organism: Varanus komodoensis (Komodo dragon)
Lineage: Eukaryota; Metazoa; Chordata; Lepidosauria; Squamata; Varanidae
Exons: 3
Source: RefSeq, a predicted model, not a curated record